GAUGAACGCUGGCGGCGUGCCUAAUACAUGCAAGUCGAGCGAACAGACGAGGAGCUUGCUCCUCUGACGUUAGCGGCGGACGGGUGAGUAACACGUGGAUAACCUACCUAUAAGACUGGGAUAACUUCGGGAAACCGGAGCUAAUACCGGAUAAUAUAUUGAACCGCAUGGUUCAAUAGUGAAAGACGGUUUUGCGGUCACUUAUAGAUGGAUCCGCGCCGCAUUAGCUAGUUGGUAAGGUAACGGCUUACCAAGGCAACGAUGCGUAGCCGACCUGAGAGGGUGAUCGGCCACACUGGAACUGAGACACGGUCCAGACUCCUACGGGAGGCAGCAGUAGGGAAUCUUCCGCAAUGGGCGAAAGCCUGACGGAGCAACGCCGCGUGAAUGAUGAAGGUCUUCGGAUCGUAAAACUCUGUUAUUAGGGAAGAACAAAUGUGUAAGUAACUAUGCACGUCUUGACGGUACCUAAUCAGAAAGCCACGGCUAACUACGUG
RNAcentral lists this ribosomal RNA (497 nucleotides) under uncultured bacterium. RNAcentral's name for it is "partial 16S ribosomal RNA". It matches the Rfam family "Bacterial small subunit ribosomal RNA", at positions 28 to 507 of the family's 1533-position model. The record is from RNAcentral.